GUAGAAGUGGCAGAGAAGUGCACUAGAUUUAAGCUCUAGAUAUAAAAACUAUAAAGGUUUUUCUUUUACA
Molecule: transfer RNA, 70 nt
Filed under: Thylaeodus sp. TAR-2010
Lineage: Eukaryota; Metazoa; Mollusca; Gastropoda; Littorinimorpha; Vermetidae
Description: tRNA-Leu
Source: RNAcentral